UAAGUACUUGAAUAUUUCACUGUCUGAUUAUAUUUUAGCUAGGAGAAGAAGAACAUGCUGCAGAUUCUAUACUUCCUGUGGCUGACAAAAAUAUAGUGGAAGGCAUUUCUAAACUGACUCUAUGCGUCCAGAGGCUUGAAAGACUGAAGAGUUGUAUUCAAAAUCUUCCAAGGACAUGCCCCUCCUUCUGUAGUUAAGCAAGAAAUUAAGAAAGACCAGGAAAAGAGAAGAAAAUUGAGUACUGUAGUGUCAAGUCAUAAAGACCCGAGGACUAUUUUAGAAGAAAUAUGAGAAGAUAAAUGAGUAUCAGCUUCUAGCAGAAGAGAAACAGAUAAUGGAGAAUGAACUUAAAAAAAAAGAAAGAGGAAGAAAACCUAAGACAAGAAGAAGUAAUACCAGCAUAUGGGAAUACCUUUUUAGCGAAGUUGGGAAAAAAAAG
RNAcentral lists this long non-coding RNA (439 nucleotides) under Apteryx owenii (little spotted kiwi). RNAcentral describes it as "lncRNA (ENSAOWG00000005461.1)". The record is from RNAcentral. Lineage: Eukaryota; Metazoa; Chordata; Aves; Apterygiformes; Apterygidae.